AUUUAACGCUGGCGGCAUGCUUUACACAUGCAAGUCGAACGGCAGCGCGGGGCAACCUGGCGGCGAGUGGCGAACGGGUGAGUAAUACAUCGGAACGUACCCAGAAGUGGGGGAUAACGUCGCGAAAGUUACGCUAAUACCGCAUACGUUCUACGGAAGAAAGUGGGGGAUCGCAAGACCUCAUGCUUUUGGAGCGGCCGAUGUCUGAUUAGCUAGUUGGUGAGGUAAAGGCUCACCAAGGCGACGAUCAGUAGCUGGUCUGAGAGGACGACCAGCCACACUGGGACUGAGACACGGCCCAGACUCCUACGGGAGGCAGCAGUGGGGAAUUUUGGACAAUGGGCGCAAGCCUGAUCCAGCAAUGCCGCGUGAGUGAAGAAGGCCUUCGGGUUGUAAAGCUCUUUUGUCAGGGAAGAAACGGCUGAGGUUAAUACCUUCGGCUAAUGACGGUACCUGAAGAAUAAGCACCGGCUAACUACGUGCCAGCCGCCGCGGUAA
This 498-nucleotide ribosomal RNA is filed under the name uncultured bacterium. RNAcentral describes it as "partial 16S ribosomal RNA". It matches the Rfam family "Bacterial small subunit ribosomal RNA", at positions 30 to 523 of the family's 1533-position model. The record is from RNAcentral.